CCAAAGGCUCUUUUCAGAGCCACUCAUGUUUUCAUAAAAGGAGCUG
Calypte anna (Anna's hummingbird) is the source of this 46-nucleotide non-coding RNA. Lineage: Eukaryota; Metazoa; Chordata; Aves; Apodiformes; Trochilidae. The record is from Rfam.